RNAcentral lists this unclassified non-coding RNA (3225 nucleotides) under Hevea brasiliensis (rubber tree). The record is from RNAcentral. Lineage: Eukaryota; Viridiplantae; Streptophyta; Magnoliopsida; Malpighiales; Euphorbiaceae.
ACCCCCCCCCCUCCCCCCAAUCUUUGUUUUUUUUCGUUUUCCAUUACACACAAGUGCACAAAAAUUAAUAAUUCAGUCUUUAGGGUUCGACCUGGAUUUACCACUUACUGCAGAAAAUAUUUCAUAAUUGGUGAUUUCAGUUAAUUUAAUUUCUGGUGAAUUCGACACCUAUCAACUUGUCUGCUAAGCCCCUGGAACUUGAAUAUCUCUUAAAUGGCCACCUCUAAAACUAGAUGAAGGUGUGACCAUCUUCUCCUUCGUCAAUGAGGCAUGCAUAAUUUUAGCAUUGCAUUGUGCUUCCCUGAGUUGUCCACAUGAUGGAAAAUGGUUGGCUGUUAUGUUGCUGGAAGCCUUAUGAGUAUUUCUUUCGCCAGAAAUAUGUCUAGCAUCUGCCUUGCAAAUGAAUUGACUACAUCUUUCCUAAUUCUGUAGUUCAACUUUGUUUUGGUUACAGCAGAAGAAAAAGUAUGCUGGUUAAGGAAAACAAGUUCAAACUCAUCGUUAGAGAGUACCAUCAUACAAUGAUAAAGCAAACAAUCACAGAUAACAUAAAAUUGCAAAGGUAAGGUUAACAUGACAGGAGAGCUUUCCAAUGACAUUUUGCACAAAGCACAUAAUAUAUUAAUUACAACUACUUGGAACACAAUGUAAAUGUAUAUUCAAGAGCAUAAAAAUAAUAUUGUCUUUUCACUUUCCGAUCUCACCAAGAUUCAGAGGAAAAUGCCAAUUAUAAAUCUUCGAGGUGAAGAUCAUCAAAUUGGAACUUUAGAUGCAAAAUCACAUGAACUAUUUGAUAUCUAGAUUCAGGAUAAUGUAUAGAAAUGUUGACAACUAGAUUAUCAUCCAUUGAAGAGGAAAUUACAAGGGCCAGAACUUUUCAGAUAUAAAAGAGAUAUUUCAAAUAUGCAAGCUUUAUCAUUCUAAGGGUUGGUUAAAGAAAGGACAAUUUGGAAUAACAGUGUUUUUCUACCUUAGCCUUUCGAACAGCAGACUGUCUCUUCUGUUAGUUAGAGAAGAACUCAGCUUUGUUGCAGGUAGGCCAGUCUUUGUGGGAAGUUUCUGAUCUUUUGAUUGGAGUGCAAAUAGAAGUCUCUUCCAUCUCCUGUGCUUGCUUUAUCCUUGUUCCCAUCAGAGAAACUUUCUGAUUCUUUAGUGACUUGUUCGGUUCUAUAUGCAGUGCCUCCUUCAGAUGGGUUAAAGUUAGCAGUUGUGUAUCAUUGUCUUGGACCUGAAUUUUAUUGGCAUUGUCAGGCAUGUUUUCCUCACUCAAUGCAUCAGCCUCCAUAUUGUUUUCUUCUUUUGUUGCGUUGCACAGUCCUUCUUGAAAAGAACCAGUCUGAGUUUUUUCUUGCUGCUCUGCUUUCAAUGCCCUCAUAGCUCUGAUCUUGCUAUAAUAUUCUUCAAAGUAUGCCUUCUUCUUUGCAACUAAUCCAGGUUCCCUGAACUUCUCUAGCUCCUCAUGACAUCUGUUCUGAGUGAAAACAGAAAACUUCUCCCAUGCAAGUGUCUCAGUGGCAUAUCUUCCGAAAGAAAUUGAACCAUGAUCAAGGAUUUGAGAGGGAGAUGCCUGAGGGCCUUCACCAUCUGAUGUUAGCUCUGGGCGUGACCAAAUGCUGCUAGAGGCUUGACAAUGAUAAGAAUGAUCAGUUUCUAUGGCCAUACUAGUCUACCUUUCUCCACAGUUAACUUCUAUACAUAAAUCUACUCUUAAAAAAAAAAGACCUGCAAGGCUGCAACCAUAUGAUCAACAAAUUAAAAUGGCAAAAAGCAUCCAGUAAAGAUUAAAAAUUUGCAAAAGUCAGUGAACCCACAGUAGAAAUAAGAAUCAUAAAAACUUGUAAAAUAGAAAUAAAUCUAGAAAAUGGAGUAGAGAUAAUUUCUAGAAAAAAAAAUCAAUUAAUUAAUGGUUUUCACUUAGGGAUAGUCUCCAAAAAAUACCUGUAGUAAAUGUAAGUCCUAAAUUCGUAACAGUAAGCUAACUCUUGCCUUUAAAUAGCUGGUGGAACAGAAAGGAAUUCUACAGCAACAGAACAACUUCAUUCUCAGAAUUCCGAAACAAAAAAAAAAAAAAGGAUUAAACAAUUUGAACAAAUCUUCAUUCCAUUGUAAAUUAAAUCAUUUAUUACUUUAUUAGUUACUAAAAUCGAAAUUUUCAGUGCUUCUGUUUACAAUUACACAGAAUUCAUGCAAGCCAAUCAGUCUUCAAUUCCAUGGAACUUAUGAUAGGAUUAGAAAUAUUGUUACGGUGUUUCGGUCCCUUCGCAGUUGUGGAAAUUUUUAAUUUGUGCAUUUCUUUUCAGGAAAUAAACUGAUUAUUCAUCAAAAAAAAAAAAGGAAAAUUAAAGCUCCAUGCUGUUAGUACCAUGUCAAUCAACUGUUCCAAUUUCCAAAGCAUAUGAGAGAUUAUUUACUUUAACAUUUUCUAUGAAUAACCACAAAAAAUGCAUGAACUUUUCUCAAUUCUCAAACAACCCACAAAUAGAACUGGACUGAUCUUGUGCUAAUAUUCCAAACUAGUGAGUCACGACAGACUAGAAGCUCAUGCCUUUGAUGCUAAGAUGAGCCAAACACUAAAGUAAUAUCAUAAACACAUACAAAUUUCCAAACAAUUGCAAAAUACAAUCAAUAAAAAAGAAAUAGUAACUGUGGCACUUGAAUAACUCUGGAUUAUUUUACUGAUGUUUCGUAUCUGCAAAAGCAAAUAAUAAGAAAAAGAAUUUGAAAAAUCACAAAUGCAAGACAAAGGAAAAAGGAUUUCCCAAGCCAAAUGCAUUAUAAUCUUCACCAUCAUAAACCCCAAUUAAUUUGUCCUUCUAGUAUGUUUGGUCACCUAGAAAAACAGAGGAAGAGAAAGAAAGAAAGAAAGCAAAGAGAAGAAAAACAUUUUCCCCCUGAUUCCCAUGCUCACCAAUGGAGCGAAGAAUAGAGAAUGGUGAAUGCACUAUAUAUAAUGAUUGCGAUUAGUAUGAGUGAUUUGUUUAACAUUUGGUUAAUGGUGAAGAAGAGAUAGGUAUAGUCGCUCGGAGGAGGGAGGCAGGGAGGGUAAGAUGGUAGAGAGAACGAGGGAAAACCAAGCAAGACCAACUGCUUCUUCAACUCAUCAUAGGCUCAACCACAUCCCACAGCUGCCUCAGUGGCCACCCUUCUCCGCCACGAAGCGUCGUUAACCGCCGCUUCUGCUUCCCCUUCUCCUUCUCAAUCCCCUCCCGCCACCCUCCUCCGAGC